GACGAACGCUGGCGGCGCGCUUAACACAUGCAAGUCGAACGGAAAGGCCUGCUUUCCCUUGUGGAUUGCGGGUACUCGAGUGGCGAACGGGUGAGUAACACGUGAGUGAUCUGCCCCCAACUUGGGUAUAAGCCUGGGAAACUGGGUCUAAUUCCCGAUAGGACUGCAGGGUGGUGCCUGUGGUGGAAAACGAUUUUCUAGUGGUUGGGGAUGAGCUCGCGGCCUAUCAGCUUGUUGGUGGGGUAAUGGCCUACCAAGGCGGCGACGGGUAGCCGGCCUGGGAGGGUGGACGGGCACAGUGGGACUGAGAUACGGCCCAGACUCCUACGGGAGGCAGCAGUGGGGAAUAAUGCACGAUGGGCGGAAGCCUGAUGCAGCGACGCCGCGUGGGGGAUGACGGCCUUCGGGUGGUAAACUCCUUUCGACCGCGAGGAAGCCACCUGGUUGGAAGGGUGGUGACGGUAGUGGUAGAAGAAGCACCGGCUAACUACGUG
This 494-nucleotide ribosomal RNA is filed under the name uncultured bacterium. RNAcentral describes it as "partial 16S ribosomal RNA". It matches the Rfam family "Bacterial small subunit ribosomal RNA", at positions 28 to 507 of the family's 1533-position model. The record is from RNAcentral.